RNAcentral lists this ribosomal RNA (243 nucleotides) under uncultured bacterium. RNAcentral's name for it is "partial 16S ribosomal RNA". It matches the Rfam family "Bacterial small subunit ribosomal RNA", at positions 15 to 244 of the family's 1533-position model. The record is from RNAcentral.
GAUCAUGGCUCAGGGCGAACGCUGGCGGCGUGCCUAAUACAUGCAAGUCGAGCGAAGUUUUUCUGGUGCUUGCACUAGAAAAACUUAGCGGCGAACGGGUGAGUAACACGUAAAGAACCUGCCUCAUAGACGGGGACAACUAUUGGAAACGAUAGCUAAUACCGGAUAACAGCAUAAAUCGCAUGAUAUAUGUUUAAAAGUUGGUUUCGGCUAACACUAUGAGGUGGCUUUGCGGUGCAUUAG